Molecule: ribosomal RNA, 468 nt
Filed under: uncultured bacterium
Lineage: Bacteria
Description: partial 16S ribosomal RNA
Rfam family: Bacterial small subunit ribosomal RNA
Source: RNAcentral
GACGAACGCUGGCGGCGUGCUUAACACAUGCAAGUCGAACGGAAAGGCCCUGCUUUUGUGGGGUGCUCGAGUGGCGAACGGGUGAGUAACACGUGAGUAACCUGCCCUUGACUUUGGGAUAACUUCAGGAAACUGGGGCUAAUACCGGAUAGGAGCUCCUGCUGCAUGGUGGGGGUUGGAAAGUUUCGGCGGUUGGGGAUGGACUCGCGGCUUAUCAGCUUGUUGGUGGGGUAGUGGCUUACCAAGGCUUUGACGGGUAGCCGGCCUGAGAGGGUGACCGGCCACAUUGGGAGUGAGAUACGGCCCAGAGGCCUACGGGAGGAAGCAGUGGGGAAUAUUGGACAAUGGGCGGAAGCCUGAUGCAGCCACGCCGCGUGCGGGAUGACGGCCGUCGGGUUGUAAAGCGCAUGCGCCUGUGACGAAGCGUGAGCGACGGGAAUGGGUAAAGAAGAAACGGCUAACUACGCG